This 60-nucleotide ribosomal RNA is filed under the name Steinernema abbasi. RNAcentral's name for it is "partial 28S ribosomal RNA". The record is from RNAcentral. Lineage: Eukaryota; Metazoa; Nematoda; Chromadorea; Rhabditida; Steinernematidae.
ACAACUCAUUUAAGUGGAAAUUACCCGCUGACUAGCAUAUCAGUAAGCGGAGGAAAAGAA